This 556-nucleotide long non-coding RNA is filed under the name Acromyrmex echinatior (Panamanian leafcutter ant). RNAcentral's name for it is "uncharacterized LOC105147367, transcript variant X2". Lineage: Eukaryota; Metazoa; Arthropoda; Insecta; Hymenoptera; Formicidae. The record is from RNAcentral.
CCAGAUGCAUUUUCCUAUUUUAAAUCAUUACAACUCAAGUCCUGAUUAAAAUGUUUAGAUAGUGAGUGGUCUUUAGGGAUAACAAAAAUUGCUUCUACGGAAUUCUAAUCAGUGAUAAGAUAGGAUGUCUAGGAAAAAGAUAAAAAUUGAAGGUAAAGGUAGUCGACCAAUCGAUAACCUAGUUUCGAUUGAAGAUUCUCCGAUAUCAGGCAGGUAGCAUCUGCGCAGGGCGAAACUCGGGUCACCGACAUGAAAGCGCCGAAGGAUUAAAAUUACCUGCUAUCCAAGUUCGUUUACUUCUCGCUGAGAAGUCACCGCAAAAGCUAUGAAAAAGCUUGCUAAGUUUAUCCCAAAUCGCUCGGGGAUAGACAGAAUAUAAUAAGAAAAGGAUACGUGUACAUAUAGUUCCUACGAGUUACUUAUUUAACAGGUGGAGCUCCGAAUUUAUCGAGUACCCCGAAGAGAAGUAACCUAGAAAAGAAACGAAAAAAAGAAUCAUCUUUUCGGAGAGGUAGAGUCUUCUAUAAGGUAGAGUAUCGAAAGAAUCUUACGGGGA